UCUACAGCCAGCUGGUUCACUGGUGGACUGAACUGUGGGUCCUCACCAGCACAGUGAGCAACAGAGCUUGGACCUUCGGAUCAGUCAGAACCUCUUCAUCCAGCAGAACGUUGGACUCCGAUACUGACACCUUACGGAGUGCCACUCCAGAGGACGCCGGAUCUCCAUGAACACUUGCUCUGGACUCUGUUGGAGAAAACAUUACAUUUGUUGACAAACAUCUGACCACAACCUCUCCUUAGUAACGAUGGUGGAGGACCCAGAGGCAUGUCCAUGCACCUGUUCUCUGAAGGAACCACAGGCAGAUUGGCCAUGACCAACAGCUGAACACAUGGCUGAACAGAGACUCGUGUGGACUCUACCUUGUCAUUGAAGACACGCAUUGUGUCGAGCGUGUGGAGGUUCUGCUCCAAAAGAGCUGUUCCUGCAGAGUACAGGCUGACUUCAUCCAGCUGCAGCACAGCAACAGCAACCCAGAACAAAGCUUUGUGCAUGGGGGAGUCCUGCAACCACACACAAUGACUCCUCACUACCACACAGCGUACGUAAGACAGCUCUCCAGACCCUGUGAUGGAAGGAAGAGAAAAAGGAAACGUGAACAAAAGAACUGGAGGACAGGAAAACACCACCUGUAACCAUCUUUAAUAACAAGUUGCUGAAAAAGGUGAGUGUGUGUGUGUGUGUGUGU
Molecule: non-coding RNA, 688 nt
Organism: Nothobranchius furzeri (turquoise killifish)
Lineage: Eukaryota; Metazoa; Chordata; Actinopteri; Cyprinodontiformes; Nothobranchiidae
Source: RefSeq, a predicted model, not a curated record